GGGGGAAUAUUGCACAAUGGGCGCAAGCCUGAUGCAGCCAUGCCGCGUGUGUGAAGAAGGCCUUCGGGUUGUAAAGCACUUUCAGCGGGGAGGAAGGCGUUAAGGUUAAUAACCUUGGCGAUUGACGUUACCCGCAGAAGAAGCACCGGCUAACUCCGUGCCAGCAGCCGCGGUAAUACGGAGGGUGCAAGCGUUAAUCGGAAUUACUGGGCGUAAAGCGCACGCAGGCGGUCUGUCAAGUCGGAUGUGAAAUCCCCGGGCUCAACCUGGGAACUGCAUUCGAAACUGGCAGGCUAGAGUCUUGUAGAGGGGGGUAGAAUUCCAGGUGUAGCGGUGAAAUGCGUAGUGGUCUGGAGGAAUACCGGUGGCGAAGGCGGCCCCCUGGACAAAGACUGACGCUCAGGUGCGAAAGCGUGGGGAGCAAACAGG
Molecule: ribosomal RNA, 429 nt
Filed under: Chloroflexota bacterium
Lineage: Bacteria; Bacillati; Chloroflexota
Description: Chloroflexi bacterium partial 16S ribosomal RNA
Rfam family: Bacterial small subunit ribosomal RNA
Source: RNAcentral